AUGUCCAUAGUUUGUUCACUUGUCCAUGCCAAAUGGAUAGUGGGGGAGGUGAUUAGGAGAAAAAUGCAAAGGACUGCUAAGGUGAAAGUGACCAGGCUUGUUCUGGAUCUCUAUUGAUUAAAGCAUUAUAAUAAGUGGAAAUCCUACUUUGCCCACGAUGCCCAUCAGCAGUGCACAGUUGGGGAUAUCGUGCUUCUUAGAGCUUUACCUGUUCCACGCACAAAGCAUUUGAAACAUGAACUGGCCGAGAUCAUUUUCAAAGUUGGAACGGUCAUAGAUCCAGUGACAGGAAAGCCCUGUGCAGGAACUACCUACCUGGAGAGUCUGUUGAGUUCAGAAACCACCCAGCUAAGCAGACAUCUGGAAGAAUUCAAUAUCUCUUCAGCACAGUGAAGGAGGAGUGGAAGAAGGAGCUACAGGGAAAGAUUGACAUGUUUGUGUUACGGAAAAAGAAAUUUUUCUAAGUUUCAU
Cebus imitator (Panamanian white-faced capuchin) is the source of this 471-nucleotide RNA transcript. It is a transcript of the gene named 28S ribosomal protein S17, mitochondrial-like, with no coding region annotated. The transcript has a single exon. Lineage: Eukaryota; Metazoa; Chordata; Mammalia; Primates; Cebidae. The record is from RefSeq and is a predicted model, not a curated record.